GACGAACGCUGGCGGCGUGCUUAACACAUGCAAGUCGAACGGAAAGGCCCUGCUUUUGUGGGGUGCUCGAGUGGCGAACGGGUGAGUAACACGUGAGUAACCUGCCCUUGACUUUGGGAUAACUUCAGGAAACUGGGGCUAAUACCGGAUAGGAGCUCCUGCUGCAUGGUGGGGGUUGGAAAGUUUCGGCGGUUGGGGAUGGACUCGCGGCUUAUCAGCUUGUUGGUGGGGUAGUGGCUUACCAAGGCUUUGACGGGUAGCCGGCCUGAGAGGGUGACCGGCCAAAUUGGGACCGAGAUACGGCCCAGCCCCCUACGGGGGGGAGGAGGGGGGAAUAUUGCACAAUGGGGGGAAGCCUGAUGCAGCAACCCCGCGGGCGGGAGGGCGGCCUUCGGGUUGUAAACCGCUUUCCCCUGUGACGAAGGGGGAGGGACGGUAAUGGGAAAAGAAGCACCGGCUAACCACGG
This 467-nucleotide ribosomal RNA is filed under the name uncultured bacterium. Its description in RNAcentral is "partial 16S ribosomal RNA". It matches the Rfam family "Bacterial small subunit ribosomal RNA", at positions 28 to 506 of the family's 1533-position model. The record is from RNAcentral.